Amphiprion ocellaris (clown anemonefish) is the source of this 649-nucleotide long non-coding RNA. The record is from Ensembl. NCBI's taxonomy places the organism in Eukaryota, Metazoa, Chordata, Actinopteri, Pomacentridae.
GGCUGAUCCUGGACCAUCCCACAGAUGCUCAAUCAGAUCUGGAUGUGGGGAGUGUGGAACCCAGAUGUUCAGAGGGAGAUGAUGCCACAUCUGGUCCAGCCGAUGGAAGGUCUUGAAGUUCUCUGACUGGCCUCGACUGAAGAUGGUCGUCUCACUGGAUUUAAGGUUCAGAUGCUCAGUAAUAAACUCCACCAAUGUGUCAUCAGGGAAGCUUUAGGUUUAUUGAAUGUUGCUAUGAAGGUUUCGCUGUUUUUCUUUAUGAAUGCAAUGUGCUCCAACUGAAACUUGAAUUAGAACUUAGAAGUAAAUCCUUCCAUCUGAAAGGAUUUAGUUGCAUUAAUAACCUCAUAACGUUCUAAUUUUUAUUCCAGUCUUGGUUGAAAAUAGAAUCUCUGUAUUGAUUCAGGUAAAAACUGAACUUCACAGCAUGUUGAAGCAAAACAACCAGAUGAAAACUGUGAUGGUGUUGGAUUGUCAGACCGUAAUGUUGCAGCUCAAAGCAGCUUUUCUAUCUCAGUUCAUUCUGACAUUCAGCUAUGAAUCAACACAGCAGAUGGUGAUCCAUGCUGUGGAAGUCUCACAUCUCCUGAUUUAAUGGAGCUGCUUUGCACUUUUUACACUGUUUAUUCAUCAACACUUUAUUUAAUAA